AUACGGAGGAUCCGAGCGUUAUCCGGAUUUAUUGGGUUUAAAGGGUGCGCAGGCGGCCAUUUAAGUCAGCGGUUAAAUCGUGGGGCUCAACCCCAUUCUGCCGUUGAUACUGGGUGGCUUGAUUGCGGUCGAGGUUGGCGGAAUUCGUUGUGUAGCGGUGGAAUGCAUAGAUAUGACGAAGAACACCGAUUGCGUAGGCAGCUGACCAGACCGCAAAUGACGCUCAUGCACGAAAGUGCGGGGAUCGAACAGGAUUAGAUACCCUGGUAGUCCGCACAGUAAACGAUGAAUACUUGUUUUCGGCGAUAUAAUGUCGGAGGCAAAGCGAAAGCGAUAAGUAUUCCACCUGGGGAGUACGCCGGCAACGGUGAAACUCAAAUGAAUUGACGGGG
RNAcentral lists this ribosomal RNA (392 nucleotides) under uncultured bacterium. Its description in RNAcentral is "partial 16S ribosomal RNA". It matches the Rfam family "Bacterial small subunit ribosomal RNA", at positions 523 to 918 of the family's 1533-position model. The record is from RNAcentral.